This 301-nucleotide unclassified non-coding RNA is filed under the name uncultured Chaetomium. Its description in RNAcentral is "sequence contains ITS1". The stretch from base 1 to 105 matches the Rfam family "5.8S ribosomal RNA", at positions 50 to 154 of the family's 154-position model. Lineage: Eukaryota; Fungi; Ascomycota; Sordariomycetes; Sordariales; Chaetomiaceae. The record is from RNAcentral.
GAAAUGCGAUAAGUAAUGUGAAUUGCAGAAUUCAGUGAAUCAUCGAAUCUUUGAACGCACAUUGCGCCCGCCAGUAUUCUGGCGGGCAUGCCUGUUCGAGCGUCAUUUCAACCAUCAAGCCCCCGGGCCUGUGUUGGGGACCUGCGGCUGCCCGCAGGCCCCGAAAACCAGUGGCGGGCUCGCUGUCACCCCGAGCGUAGUAGCAACACCUCGCCCAGGGAGUGCCGCGGGCACCGGCCGUAAAACCUUCUCACAUCCAAAGGUUGACCUCGGAUCAGGUAGGAAUACCCGCUGAACUUAA